GCAGCGUUAGUCUAGUGGUCAGGACGCUACACAGAUAAUGCCUUGCAAACACAAGCAUGUAGGGCGGUCAUGAGGCAGCAUACCGAAGGGAGAGUGGAAGUGAUCAUCUGAAAUGUAGAGACGUGAAUUCGAAUCUCACAAGCUGCA
This 147-nucleotide transfer RNA is filed under the name Aureobasidium melanogenum CBS 110374. It matches the Rfam family "tRNA". From Rfam's summary of the family: Transfer RNA (tRNA) molecules are approximately 80 nucleotides in length. Lineage: Eukaryota; Fungi; Ascomycota; Dothideomycetes; Dothideales; Saccotheciaceae. The record is from Rfam by way of RNAcentral.